GAUGAACGCUGGCGGCGUGCCUAAUACAUGCAAGUCGAGCGAACAGAUGAGGAGCUUGCUCCUCUGACGUUAGCGGCGGACGGGUGAGUAACACGUGGAUAACCUACCUAUAAGACUGGGAUAACUUCGGGAAACCGGAGCUAAUACCGGAUAAUAUAUUGAACCGCAUGGUUCAAUAGUGAAAGACGGUUUUGCUGUCACUUAUAGAUGGAUCCGCGCCGCAUUAGCUAGUUGGUAAGGUAACGGCUUACCAAGGCAACGAUGCGUAGCCGACCUGAGAGGGUGAUCGGCCACACUGGAACUGAGACACGGUCCAGACUCCUACGGGAGGCAGCAGUAGGGAAUCUUCCGCAAUGGGCGAAAGCCUGACGGAGCAACGCCGCGUGAGUGAUGAAGGUCUUCGGAUCGUAAAACGCUGUUAUUAGGGAAGAACAAAUGUGUAAGUAACUAUGCACGUCUUGACGGUACCGAAUCAGAAAGCCACGGCUAACUACGU
RNAcentral lists this ribosomal RNA (496 nucleotides) under uncultured bacterium. RNAcentral describes it as "partial 16S ribosomal RNA". It matches the Rfam family "Bacterial small subunit ribosomal RNA", at positions 28 to 506 of the family's 1533-position model. The record is from RNAcentral.